RNAcentral lists this ribosomal RNA (305 nucleotides) under uncultured bacterium. RNAcentral describes it as "bacterial SSU rRNA". It matches the Rfam family "Bacterial small subunit ribosomal RNA", at positions 338 to 660 of the family's 1533-position model. The record is from RNAcentral.
CCUACGGGGGGCAGCAGUGGGGGAUAUUGCACAAUGGGGGGAACCCUGAUGCAGCGACGCCGCGUGAGUGAAGAAGUAUCUCGGUAUGUAAAGCUCUAUCAGCAGGGAAGAAGCAAGACGGUACCUGACUAAGAAGCCCCGGCUAACUACGUGCCAGCAGCCGCGGUAAUACGUAGGGGGCGAGCGUUAUCCGGAUUUAUUGGGUUUAAAGGGUGCGCAGGCGGUCUGUUAAGUCAGCGGUCAAAGCCCGGGGCUCAACCCCGGCCCGCCGUUGAAACUGGCAGUCUCGAGUUGGAGAGAAGUAU